This 427-nucleotide ribosomal RNA is filed under the name Chromarcys magnifica. Its description in RNAcentral is "partial 16S ribosomal RNA". It matches the Rfam family "Bacterial large subunit ribosomal RNA", at positions 1959 to 2601 of the family's 2925-position model. Lineage: Eukaryota; Metazoa; Arthropoda; Insecta; Ephemeroptera; Oligoneuriidae. The record is from RNAcentral.
GCAUAAUCAUUAGUCUUCUAAUUAAAGGCUGGUAUGAAUGGCUGGACGAAGUAUUAACUAUCUCAAUAAAAUUAAAUUUAAAUUUAACUUUUUAGUCAAAAGGCUAAAAUUCAAUUAAAGGACGAGAAGACCCUAUAGAGCUUUAUACAUAAAUUUUAUUUUAUAUUUACAUAAUUAUUAGAAUAAAAAGAAGUAUUUAGUUGGGGCGACUGGGAGACUUACUUAACUCUCUUUAAUUUUAACCAUUAAUUUAUGAUUAAUUGAUCCGUCUAACGAUUAAAAGACUAAGUUACCUUAGGGAUAACAGCGUAAUCUUUUUAAAGAGUUCUUAUCGAUAAAAAGGUUUGCGACCUCGAUGUUGGAUUAAGAUAAAAUUUGGGUGCAGAAGCUUAAAUUUUAGGUCUGUUCGACCUUUUAUUUCUUACAU